RNAcentral lists this long non-coding RNA (1745 nucleotides) under Homo sapiens (human). RNAcentral's name for it is "non-protein coding LINC01811:26". Lineage: Eukaryota; Metazoa; Chordata; Mammalia; Primates; Hominidae. The record is from RNAcentral.
UUUACUCUGAAGUGAGUUCCAUUGCCAGGCGCAAUGUUGUUUGAGAUACCCUGAUUGGACAUCAUGAUGUGCAGGAACAAGCAUGAUGUCAGGAAAAGAAAACUUCAGUUAGAAACAAUUUUACUCCAUUGAGGACUAGUUGCUCUCCUGCACAUGAUGACAGGAGUAAAAUAUAAUUGACUUGUCAGAAGGUAUCCGGUUGGCCCCAGAAGGUAUAGUAUCAUCUCAGGAGAUCAAGGAAGGUAUCCUUCUGCAGUUUGGGGGAUCUGAAGAAAAGCUGAGCAGAUCAGAAAUGAACUCAGCAGAAUUAACAUUAGAAAGAGAGAAACAAGGACACCAAGAAGCAAUUUCACCCAGGAAAGCAUUCUGUUAUGAAAUCCAAGCUCUCUUUACAUGAAGACUCAGCCUGCAGACAGCUCCCUACACAUGCACCCCACAGGGAAGGCUGCUUGUCACCAGCAACCAUCUCCAUCCACAUUCCCCCCGCCCUGCCCCCACGAGAAGCCUGCCUUCAGUUGUCCCAAUUACAGGGAAGCCUGCUGAGGAAACAGAACUGUCUGAAUGCAAAGGAAAUUUAGCUCUUAUGAAUAUGAACUCUCAACCAAGAAUCACCAGACGUUUAAGGAAAACCAAGAACACAAAAGAGAAAGAUCAAGAUUAAAAAAACAGCUGGGCGUGGUGGCUCUUGCCUGUAAUCCCAGCACUUUGGGAGGCUGAGGCGGGAGGAUCGCUUGAGCAUAGGAGUUCGAGACUAACCUGGACAAUAUAGUGAGACCUCGUGUCUACAUAAAAUUUAAAAAUUAAUUAGCUGGGCAUGGUGUUGUGCACCUGUAGACCCAACUACUCAGGAGGCUGAGGUGGGAGGAUCCUUUGAGCCUGAGAUGUUGACGGUGCAGUGAGCUGUGAUAGCUAAAUGAGAUCACUCUGUAAAACAAACAAACAACAACAAUAAAACCAGAGCCAUCUUCUGAAAAAACAGAAAUCAUUGAGAAAUAAUAAAAGAACUUAAAAGUUCUAAUAUCCUUAGAAACAGGUGGAUAUUGUUUCUAUUUUUACAAAGUACAAGAAAAGAAAAAAAGAACAAGCAUUAGUGAAAAAAGGAAUCCCUAGAAACUAAAAAUGUGUUUAUACAAUGGAAAAAAGAUAUCAUAGAACUAACAAAGAAAUGGAAAAGCCAAGGUUAAAGACCAAAGUUGGCAAAUAAAUCAAGGACAUCUCCCAUAAUGAAAAACAAAAGCUAAAGAGAGCAUCUUAUCAACAGUAGAAUGGACAUAAAUUUGAAUGUAUUUAUGUGUGGACUAUUAUACAGCAAUGAGAAUAAGCAUAUUAGAACUAUACACAACAACAUGGAUGAAUCUCAUGAGCAUGAAGUUAGGGAACUUAAGAAGCCAGCUACAAAGAGCACAUGCUGUGUUAUUUCAUGUACAUAAAGUUCAAAAACAGGCAGCACUAACCUAUGGCAUUAAAAGCCAAGAAAGUCAAAAGAUACCCUUGGGGUGGUGGUGACAGGAAGCAGCAUGAGGGUCCUUCUGUGUUGGUGACAUUCUCUUUCUUCAAGAGCUCGCUAUGUGGGUGGUUUGCUUUGUAAAAAUUCAGCAAUGUGUACAGUUGUGUACAUUUUUAAUGUAUACUUUUAUAUGUUUUAACCUUCAAAAAGUGAAACAAAUGUCACAGUGUUUGGACACCGCAUGAACAUGCCAAUUUCCUGUGUUGUAAUAUUUUUAUGCACUUUAAGAAGACCACCA